Molecule: non-coding RNA, 78 nt
Organism: Podarcis lilfordi (Lilford's wall lizard)
Lineage: Eukaryota; Metazoa; Chordata; Lepidosauria; Squamata; Lacertidae
Source: the annotation of a GenBank genome assembly
GCUAGGAUAGCUCAGUUGCUUAGAGUGUGGUGCUGAUAACGCCAAAAGUUGCAGGUUCAAUUCCUAUAUAGAACAGCU